UACGAAGGGGGCUAGCGUUGUUCGGAAUUACUGGGCGUAAAGCGCACGUAGGCGGAUUGUUAAGUGAGGGGUGAAUCCCGGGGCUCGACCCCGGAACUGCCUUUCAUACUGGCAAUCUUGAGUCCGAGAGAGGUGAGUGGAAUUCCGAGUGUAGAGGUGAAAUUCGUAGAUAUUCGGAGGUACACCAGUGGCGAAGGCGGCUCACUGGCUCGGUACUGACGCUGAGGUGCGAAAGCGUGGGGAGCAAACAGG
RNAcentral lists this ribosomal RNA (252 nucleotides) under uncultured bacterium. RNAcentral's name for it is "partial 16S ribosomal RNA". It matches the Rfam family "Bacterial small subunit ribosomal RNA", at positions 524 to 776 of the family's 1533-position model. The record is from RNAcentral.